CUCACUGUGAAGUUCAAGGCCUCGGGACCUUAGAAGAACUCAAGAGAAAAGAGAAAAGGGAAGUGAAUGUCUUUGCUUGGAAUCAACCCACUGGCUGUCACAGUGCACCCUGCAGCAUAGGAAAUCCAGCAACAAUGCAAGGAUAUCUUUGGAGGAACACAGGAUCCCAAAACCUGUCCAGGAUCAUUACAGUCUUCCCUUUCCUCUAGCAGCUGGAGGCAGAAUGAUCACCCCAGCCACUUAAUAAUGAGACAGUCCUCCGUGAACUUCCCCAAAGUGAGCCCUUCCAAUGGGCUGCAGUUCUCCACAAGCAGCUCCAGUGUGAGUUCCUUACAAAAGGUGCAGUCCUGCAGAAUUAGAUUUCUUCAGCAUUAUUCCUCCCAGGGUCACAAGUAUUGCUGGCAAACCUGCAUGGGCUCCUUUCCUUCCAAAAGCCCUGACAGAAGCCUAUUCCAGUGUGGACUUCUCAAGGGGUCAUAAACCUCCUUUGGGCAUCCACCUACAGUGCUGUGGGACACUCCAGAGGCUGCAGGUGGAUGUCUGCUCACUUGUGGGGAUCCAUGUGCUACAGGAGAAAGUCUGCCUCGCCAUGGUGUGCACUGUGGGCUGAGCAGGAGAACCUCUGCUCCAGCAUCUGGAACAGUUUCUUUCAUAUA
Long non-coding RNA from Passer domesticus (house sparrow), 656 nucleotides. RefSeq lists it as uncharacterized. NCBI's taxonomy places the organism in Eukaryota, Metazoa, Chordata, Aves, Passeriformes, Passeridae. The transcript is spliced from 4 exons. The record is from RefSeq and is a predicted model, not a curated record.